Molecule: ribosomal RNA, 209 nt
Filed under: uncultured fungus
Lineage: Eukaryota; Fungi
Description: partial small subunit ribosomal RNA
Rfam family: Eukaryotic small subunit ribosomal RNA (bases 83-209)
Source: RNAcentral
GGCUGGUCUGCUAGUGGCUCUCGCAGUCGUUAGUUGUACCUAGUCAUCCGUACGGGAAUCUUAUUCGGCCUUCGCUGGUCGGUAAGUGGAUCGUACACUUUACUUUGAAAAAAUUAGAGUGUUUCAGGCAGGCAAUUGCUUGGAUACUGCAGCAUGGAAUAAUGGAAUAGGGCUGCUGCCCCAUUUUGUUGGUUUCUGGGACCGUAGCA